UUUUCAGGUGUGCAUGAUGCAAGUUCUUGGAUUGUGUGUAGUCUGUGAAAUUCACAUUUAUUCUAGGGAUCAGAACUUCCUUGCUGUCCCUGAGAACAGACAAUAAUGGAAUUGAAAGCAGUUAUUUGCCCUACUUUAAUAAAGAAAAGAAGAAUUCAGCAUACAAUAGAUUCUUUUACCAAUGUGCCCCCUGGAAAAGGCUACUGGACACAAAUAUUAGCAUUAACAUAUGUGUACUUUAAUUUAGGACAAGUGAGUCAGAGAGGGAUUGUGACAUAGUGUAGAUUGCUGACACUUGUUGGAAGGAUACCUUUCAGUUACCUACAAUUCUACCAACUGGAAAAAUCAGUACUAAUGCCACUUGUGUUACUGGACUAUUAGUCGAGGAUGGAGUUCUUUAUUGAAACAGUUCUCAAGUACUGACUAACAGCUCGACUUCAUGAAUUUUACAAAACAGUGCUCAAGUAUUGACUUUCAUCGUAAUGGACUCCACAAAACGGUACUCUAGUACAGACUGUAUCUCUCCAUACCGAACUUCCUUUUU
Molecule: long non-coding RNA, 544 nt
Organism: Saccostrea echinata
Lineage: Eukaryota; Metazoa; Mollusca; Bivalvia; Ostreida; Ostreidae
Exons: 4
Source: RefSeq, a predicted model, not a curated record